UACGGGGGGGCAAGCGUUGUUCGGAAUUACUGGGCGUAAAGGGCUCGUAGGUGGCCAACUAAGUCAGACGUGAAAUCCCUCGGCUUAACCGGGGAACUGCGUCUGAUACUGGAUGGCUUGAGGUUGGGAGAGGGAUGCGGAAUUCCAGGUGUAGCGGUGAAAUGCGUAGAUAUCUGGAGGAACACCGGUGGCGAAGGCGGCAUCCUGGACCAAUUCUGACACUGAGGAGCGAAAGCCAGGGGAGCAAACGGG
RNAcentral lists this ribosomal RNA (252 nucleotides) under uncultured bacterium. RNAcentral describes it as "partial 16S ribosomal RNA". It matches the Rfam family "Bacterial small subunit ribosomal RNA", at positions 524 to 776 of the family's 1533-position model. The record is from RNAcentral.